GAUGAACGCUGGCUACAGGCUUAACACAUGCAAGUCGAGGGGAAACGCCGGGGAAGCUUGCUUCCCCGGGCGUCGACCGGCGCACGGGUGAGUAACGCGUAUCCAACCUGCCUCUGACUGAGGGAUAACCCGUCGAAAGUCGGCCUAAUACCUCAUGGUAUCGUCUGCGGGCAUCCAACGACGAUUAAAGAUUUCAUCGGUCAGGGAUGGGGAUGCGUCUGAUUAGCUUGUUGGCGGGGUAACGGCCCACCAAGGCUACGAUCAGUAGGGGUUCUGAGAGGAAGGUCCCCCACAUUGGAACUGAGACACGGUCCAAACGCCUACGGGAGGCAGCAGUGAGGAAUAUUGGUCAAUGGGCGAGAGCCUGAACCAGCCAAGUAGCGUGCAGGAAGACGGCCCUAUGGGUUGUAAACUGCUUUUAUGCGGGGAUAAAGUGAGGGACGGGUCCCUCAUUGCAGGUACCGCAUGAAUAAGGACCGGCUAAUUCCGUG
RNAcentral lists this ribosomal RNA (491 nucleotides) under uncultured bacterium. RNAcentral's name for it is "partial 16S ribosomal RNA". It matches the Rfam family "Bacterial small subunit ribosomal RNA", at positions 28 to 507 of the family's 1533-position model. The record is from RNAcentral.